GGGCGCUUGGCUCAGCUGGUCAGAGCGCCUGGUUUACACCCAGGAUGUCGGGGGUUCAAAUCCCUCAGCGCCCACCA
This 77-nucleotide transfer RNA is filed under the name Spirochaetaceae bacterium. Its description in RNAcentral is "tRNA-Val". It matches the Rfam family "tRNA". Rfam says of the family: Transfer RNA (tRNA) molecules are approximately 80 nucleotides in length. Their secondary structure includes four short double-helical elements and three loops (D, anti-codon, and T loops). The record is from RNAcentral. Lineage: Bacteria; Pseudomonadati; Spirochaetota; Spirochaetia; Spirochaetales; Spirochaetaceae.